Molecule: non-coding RNA, 566 nt
Filed under: Drosophila willistoni
Lineage: Eukaryota; Metazoa; Arthropoda; Insecta; Diptera; Drosophilidae
Description: Eukaryotic large subunit ribosomal RNA
Rfam family: Eukaryotic large subunit ribosomal RNA
Source: Rfam by way of RNAcentral
CAACCUCAACUCAUAUGGGACUACCCCCUGAAUUUAAGCAUAUUAAUUAGGGGAGGAAAAGAAACUAACAAGGAUUUUCUUAGUAGCGGCGAGAGAAAAGAAAAUAGUUCAGCACUAAGUCACUUUGUUUUUAUGGCAAAUGUAAGAUGCAGUGUAUGGAGCAUCAAUAUUCUAGUAUGAGAAAUUAACGAUUUAAGUCCUUCUUAAAUGAGGCCAUUUACCCAUAGAGGGUGCCAGGCCCGUAUAACGUUAAUGAUUACUAGAUGGCAAAAUACCAUUCUCUACCCGACUGGCCAGAACAAUCUUCAUUCCGAAGACUGUGACGGCAAAUCGACCGCAAGACUUUCGUUCAAUAACAGUCCCCUCGGUUUUGGUCAGGCAAUUAAACGCUGUUCUGGCUUCUCGAUUGGCUUCUAAAGUCAACUGGGAUCCAAGGCAGCGCGGUUUCCUACCUACCGAUGGGUGUGCUGAUAAUGCGACGUUGGUUGAUCUAAUUUUGCGGGAGCACCAUAAACGGUGGAAGUCAUGUUACCUUGCGACGGUGGAUGUCUGCAAGGCUUUUGACU